UACGUAGGGAGCAAGCGUUAUCCGGAUUUAUUGGGUGUAAAGGGUGCGUAGACGGGAGAGCAAGUUGGUUGUGAAAUCCCUCGGCUUAACUGAGGAACUGCAACCAAAACUAUUCUUCUUGAGUGCUGGAGAGGAAAGUGGAAUUCCUAGUGUAGCGGUGAAAUGCGUAGAUAUUAGGAGGAACACCAGUGGCGAAGGCGACUUUCUGGACAGUAACUGACGUUGAGGCACGAAAGUGUGGGGAGCAAACAGG
This 253-nucleotide ribosomal RNA is filed under the name uncultured bacterium. RNAcentral describes it as "partial 16S ribosomal RNA". It matches the Rfam family "Bacterial small subunit ribosomal RNA", at positions 524 to 776 of the family's 1533-position model. The record is from RNAcentral.